Molecule: transfer RNA, 73 nt
Filed under: Roseibium aggregatum
Lineage: Bacteria; Pseudomonadati; Pseudomonadota; Alphaproteobacteria; Hyphomicrobiales; Stappiaceae
Also listed under: 2 other names
Description: Labrenzia aggregata tRNA-Lys
Rfam family: tRNA
About the family: Transfer RNA (tRNA) molecules are approximately 80 nucleotides in length. Their secondary structure includes four short double-helical elements and three loops (D, anti-codon, and T loops).
Source: RNAcentral
CCAUGGAUAGCUCAGUGGUAGAGCAUCGGACCUUUAAUCCGACUGUCGCGAGUUCAACUCUCGCUCCAAAAAC